This is a long non-coding RNA of Etheostoma spectabile (orangethroat darter), 177 nucleotides long. RefSeq lists it as uncharacterized. NCBI's taxonomy places the organism in Eukaryota, Metazoa, Chordata, Actinopteri, Perciformes, Percidae. The record is from RefSeq and is a predicted model, not a curated record. The transcript is spliced from 3 exons.
AAUGUUUGUGUAGAGCGUUGAAUCACAGUAUGUCAUCUCAAAGGGCUUUACAAAGAAAACGGGACGGUCAUUCUCAUAGAAUUGUCACUAUAUAACAGCAUGCCAUCUGGAUGAAAUGAUUCAUUCGUACUCGUAAAGGUUACUGCAUGAAGCCAGUCCAGCGCCUGAAGGGCGGGG